RNAcentral lists this long non-coding RNA (28751 nucleotides) under Nicotiana tabacum (common tobacco). RNAcentral's name for it is "long non-coding RNA (NTAB_LNC001371)". The record is from RNAcentral. Lineage: Eukaryota; Viridiplantae; Streptophyta; Magnoliopsida; Solanales; Solanaceae.
CCAAGCCUAUGAAAACCCUAUAAAUACCAUUAUUCUCUUCAUAUUCCAUACCAAAUUCCUUCGCCGAAAUUCAAGACUUUCUCCAAUUCUUCAGCCAUCACUUGAGCUGUAUCUGCAGAGUGAAAUUACAAUGGCGACUCCUAGUGCUUAUCUUGCGGAAGCUUAUGUGAUGAAGAAACAAUACAAGGAGAAGAUGAAGACAGAACUGGAAACUAAUGGCGCCAAAAAGUAACAUAAUAAUCCUAAAACCUCAUCCUCCUCCUCCUCCUCCUCCUCCUCCUCUUCUUCUACUUCGGCUGGUUGCUUUUCCAUGAAAAUAUUCAAGAAAGUCCAUCCAAAAACCUCUCCUCCGCCAUCGGAUUCCGCCGUGACAUGCCGUGGAGUAGGAUAUGAGAGCUAACAGCUGCUAUAGCUACAUAUAUUAAUUACUGUUCUAGGAAUGUUUUUAAAGCCACUGUAUUGUUUUUUCUUUUUCGUUUCUUUAUUUGAUAAGUUUGGAAUUCAUGAACUCAACUAGAGUGAAGAAGUUCAUGAUAAUUAAAAAGAUUUACUUGUAUUAUACGAAUUUUAAUAUGUUUCUUCUUUUUGUAAGCGUAUUUUUUGAAUAUAUAUCCAAACAAAUGAAAAAGAAAAGAAACAAGUCUUUGUUCAAAAUUAUGUUAAGGGAAACCCUUAAAUUCUUAUAUAUUAUCGCAGUUUAUUUAAUUAAUUAGUCGAUCAGUUCACGCGAAACAAUGACAUUUUCUGCCACGAUCCGAAUCUAUCAUGUGGUGAUGGCGCCUAUCGUGGUACUAGGCAAGCCGACACAUUACCAAAACCAAUCAAUAUUCUCAUUCUUAAGAUAAAAUCAAAGCUAUUUAACAAUAAACCUUCAUAAAGUGUUUAAAUCAAACAAUAGUGUGGAAAGACAAGCCCGACAUCGGAGGAGGGGGGUGUCACUAGUCAUGAACAUCUACUAAGAACUGUCCCAACUAAUAACAUCUAUAGGAAGAUAAGAGGGAGAAGAGCAGGGCUGCGAUCGUCAUGCAACUACCUUGCUAACUCCAACAGAUCCGCAACAGAUUAAAACAACACUCACUAGCACGUCCAGCAACCCCUGGAUCUGCACACAAGGUGCAGGGAGUAAUGUGGGUACGCCAACUCAGUAAGUAAUAAAAGUAAAUAAAGACUGGGCAGUAGUGACGAACAAUAAAACAUAUAGAGUUCAUAUCAUGAAAUCUAAGAAGAAUAUAGCAGGCUUUUAAAAUCAGGAUUUUGAAUCAACUCAGCUCAUUUAAAUCCAGUUUCAGUGAAACCAUUUAAAACAUCUUUUAACAGUUUCAAACGAAGUGAUAAAAACAGUGAGUAGAAAUGAUGAAAACAUAAUUAGCCCCUCAGGCAAAAUUCAAUCGUAUGCAGCCCCUCGGACAAACAUAAAUCAUAAACAGCCCCUCGGGCAAACAUCAGUCGUAUAUAGCCCCUCGGGCAAACAUGAAUCAUAAACAACCCCUCGGGCAAAAAUCACUGUCACUCAUAUACAGUCCCUCAGACAUACCUCACAAUCACUCGUAAAAAGCCCAUCGGGCACAACAUGAAUCAAGAACAGCCCCAUGGGGCAAAACAUCAUAUCACUCACUUAGAGUACUCGCGCGCACUGGGAGUGUACAGACUCCGGAGGGGCUCCUAUAUCCCAAGCGCUACAACAAGCCACCUCGUGGCAUAAAUCAAUCAGGCCAUCAGCCUCACAAAAUCAUGAAUCAGUAACAACAUGUUGCGGUGUGCAGCUCGAUCCCAUAAAUAUCCUCACAAAACAGGCCCUCGGCCUCACUAAGCCAUAAACCUCUCAAGCUACUCGGGUUAUCAGUAAAACAUGGUGCUCAGCCUAAAAUAACAUUUUUUAUACAUCAAAACAGAGUAAUAAAGAAUGAGUUACAAAAUCAGUAAGUAUAACAUGACUGAGUAUAGAUUUUCAAUCAAAAUCAGUGAGAGGAUAGUAAGAAAAAUGCCCCUAAGGUUCCAAACAGCUCUGCCACAAGGCCCAAACAUGGCAUUCAGCCCAAUUUACAGAAACUCUUUCUAAAAUACAUAAGUAUCCUAUAGUUUCAAUCAAAUACGCAACUUAUAGUUGCUAUGGGAUGGAUCAAGUCACAAAAAUCCUCAAUGGUGCACGCCCACACAUCCGUCACUAGUAUGCGCGUCACCUCAAAGGAGUAAAAAAAUGUGAAAUCCGUAGUUUCAUACCCUCAUAACUAGAUUUACAAUCAUACUUACCUCAAACAAGCCAAUCCCAAUACCGAGCAAGCCAAGUGAUGCUCCAAAAAUGUCAUCUUGCGCGUUCCGACCUCUGAACGGCUCGAAACUAACCAAAAAUAACUCAAUAUUCUCAAACAAUGCUAAAGUAACCAAUCCCAAUCGAAAAAGAUCGAAUCUUUAAUCAAAAGCCCAAAAUCGCCAAAAAUUCCAACCCCGGCCCAUAUCUCGGAACCCCAGAAAACUCAUAAAAUCCAACAAUUCAUUCAAUUAUGAGUCCAACCAUACUAGUUUUAUCCAAUUUCGACUCCGAAUCGAUGUUCAAAACUUUUUUCACUUUAUGAAACUUUAGGAAAAAACCCCCCAAAUUUACUUUAAAAUCAUCAAUCAAAUGCCAAAAUGAAGAUGGAUUCAUGAAUAUAAAAAAACAGAGUAGAGAACACUUACCCAAUACAUAUGGUGAAAAUUGCCACCAAAAUCGCCUAAAUCCGAGCUCCCCAACUCAAAAUAUGACCAAAUGAACAAACUCUUAUUUUAUAUAUUUUUCUACCUCGUUUUUAUGCCAAACGAUCCCAAAACUUGCUUUUGAUACUUCUAAUAGAUUUCUUGUGAAAUUUUAGCCAAGUUAGGCUUUUGAAUCACUCCAUUUGACCUUAUAUUGAAGGAGAUAUGUUGGUUUUAAUAUUUGAAAAUAGUGCAGAUUUUUAAAUACGAAUUCAGUGGCAAUUUCAUAAUUAAUCUGAAAAUUUUGGCAACCCAAUUCUUAGUAAAAUGACCAUAAAAUCCUCAUACGAUGUCCAAAUUUAACGAUUCUUUUUGCUAUAGCUCCGUAAUUACAAUACGGAUCUAAAUUUUUUUAAUAAAAAUAGAAAUCAGAGCUCAUUUGCUUAAUGUAGUACUAGUUAUGCUUGAAAAACGACAUUGAAACAUAAAAAUGAGCGCCCAAACCUAUCCGAAACUCACCCGAGCCCCUUGGAACCCUGUUCGAACAUACCAACAAGUCCCUUAUCAUAACACGGACCUACUUGAGGCCUCAAAACACACAUAACAAAAUCGAAACAACGAAUCACACCUCAAUUCGAAAUCAAUGAACUUCAAACUUCUACAACCGAUGCCGAAACCUAUCAAAUCACGUCCGAUUGACCUUAAAUUUUGCACACAAAUCACAGUUAACAUUAUGGACCUGCUCUAACUUUCAAAAUCGGAAUCCAACCUCGAUAUCAAAAAGUCCACUCCGGUCAAACUUUCCAAAAUUCCAACUUUCACUAUUUCAAGCCAAAUUCUACUACGGACCUCCAAAUCACAAUACAGAUACGCUCCUAAGUUCAAAAUCACCCAACGGAGCUAAGGGAACCAUCAGAAAUCCAAUCCGAGGUCAAAUUCUAAAAAGUCAAAACUUGGUCAAACCUUUCAAAUUUAAAGCUUCUAGCUGAGAACCAUUCUUCCAAAUCAAUUCUGAAUAACCCGAAAACCAAAACGGACAAUUCUCAUAAGUCAUAAUACUUCAUACGGAACUACUCAUAUUCUCAAACAAUCAAGCGAAGUGCAAUUGCUCAAAACGACCGGUCGGGUCGUUACAUCCUCCCCCACUUGAACAUACGUUCGUCCUCGAACGUAUCCAGAGUUGUUACAAAAGCCAUCAACUUGCUGUAUAAUCUCACUAUGCACAUAUCCGGGGGUGAUCUCAUGUCACCCUAUUCCAUAUAGGUUUGAUAACACAACAUGACUGAAAUUUCUUAAUCCAACCUAGUCCAUAAGUCUUAGGGCCCAAUUUCCAACAUCUAGAAUUUUCUAUAAGAGUAGAACAUCGCAUCUAUACACUGUAUAAGUCCGAACAAGCUGUAUCAAACCAUAUUAGUAACCCAAGAUAUAAUCACAUGAUAUACCACAUAACUCAAACACUCAUGGCGAUAACUCCUAAUUACAGUAGCUGCUCAAAACAACCCAAUACUGGUAAUACACUUUUUAACAAACAAAGCCUCGUUCUAACACUUUCAUAUACUGCCAAUGAUGAAAGAAACAUGCAGAAACUCAUAACCAUUUGUCAGAUCAACAAGUCAUGGAUCUCCCUCUUCUCCAAUAGGAACUAUAGCAGAUUUCUAACUCGACUUCCGAUAUAAUCCUUUCAACCAUGCUGUAACCAAUUCUGAUUGUAUCUAUUCUAGGUCCAAUGACCUCAUCUCAUCCAACACUACCACUCCGAUGAUAUGACACAUCAAUACAAACCAAAACCAUAACCUGUAGAAUUUGUGCACCCAAUAGCAACAUCCCAAAUGUACUCAAAUCAUGAAAAGAAAUGACUCAGAGAGGGCUGUCCUGCAAGCUUAACAAGUACUGCCACAACGAAAUACUGAAAAUAUAUCCAUCACACCCCAUAAGACCAUCACAUGAAUCUAAUACAAAGAUUCAUACAACAACAUAAUUUCACUGCAAUGCUUGCCCAUCCAAAUACUAAUCCAUGGCAUAUACCUCAAGCCACCUUGCUCAUAAUAAAUAACCACGUGCAAUUCGACAUCAAAUACUCAAAGUGCAUUACCAUAACCACGGAGAAGAAAAUGACAUAACGUCACACAAAACCCAAAAGAACAUAACCAAUUUGUCAUCCACCAAGCAAUACCCGAUACCUUUCCCACUCAAAUUCCGCUAUAAGAUCCCAAUAGAACCGCACCAUAUGUGCAUAUAACCAACUAAUCAUAACCCCUUGUAACACAGAAGAGUAGCUCAAAGAUCACUCCAGAACACAAAUAAGCUCAGCAACAAUCGAAUGGCACAUCCCUCAACAAUAGCAGUUCAGAGUCAACAAAUCCGACCAAUGCAGAACACACCUCCAUAUUGGGCCUACCAAUGAACCCCAAAUCAGCUCUGGUCUCCCACGAUAGAUAAGUAACCAUCUGAAAGUCUACAGUAAUUGAAUCACAACACAUAUUAACCUUUGACUAACCUUGGAUACUUUUUACGAUCUACACCACGAAACAAUCUACUCACGAGAACUCCCAUUCUCCAAAUUCAUAGAACAUACGAAUCACAAUCUCUGAUCUCAACUCCACCGCCUGAAUGCCACACUUCUCCAAUUACACAGUCACCCCACGAGAAAUACUUCUAAAAUUCUUCCGUGCCACAAAGAAAAAUUUGAACUCCAAUAGUGGAUCAAACAAAAGAGUGCCGCAAUACCAAUAAAUUAUCAAUAACUCCCACACAUCACUUUUCUGAAAUGUAUACUCUCAUUAAGCCAUACCAGUUAGUAAUAUCAUUUACCUAGUCAUCUGAAAAUGUCUAUGCUGCCUAAGAAUUUAUGAAAUUCCUUUCAGAACUGAACUAUGACCUUACACAUGCAAAUCUCAAUCCUACACAACAUACUGCAUAUAUCAUGCCAUCCUAUAAUAAAUAUGAGAACUUCAUAAUCCACUCUGAGUCACAAGCAACUACGUGCUCAACUAGCCAAGAACUUUCUAUUUGAUCCCAUCUAAGAGAAAAUCACUAUACAUCACAUGCUCUUCACGCCAGUAGAAGAUAUACCUUUCUAACCGUGGUAGAAACCAUCAAGAACUCUCCGAAUCCUAUUUGCUCAAAACCCAACCGUCAGGACUGAAUCCUUCUAACCCAACCAAGCUACGCAGGUCACCAAAACUCAAGAACAUUGCAAUGAAAUACCUAUAGAAACUCAUUACCUCAUAAACACCCAAAGAACUAAUCAUACCCAUUAUCAUGUCGAUCAAACCUACUACUAAGCUGUCCUAUCUAUCUGAGUUCCUUUUGAAUUGCAUUCACAUUGAUACUUCUCCUUACCAUAAUACCUCAAUCCUCAGCCUCAACUCACCACACGAGACCCUAACAUAAGCCACAUUGCCCUGAGGCUCAUAAGUCGCUGAAUUCUCUCUUAAGCACCCCAAAAGUACCACAAUCGAGAUACCCACUCUGAAAAGACCUUCUGUGAAUUUCAAGUUGUUCAUCUUACUUUCCUGAUACUGAAAUGUAGAAUCCAUAACGAUGUAGAAAUAUUGCGAGCCACGACACCAUCCAAAGUAACUCUUAGCUUCUAGCCACAUACAAACUCGCAAAAAUUCUCAAUUGCAACAUAUAAAUUUUAAAUUCAUUAGAACCAUUCUCGAAAGUUAUCCACUUUGCUCAAAUCUCAAUUAGACUGAUCAAACGGGCUGAUCGACUUAUGCCCCAUUAACGCUCCAACACCCAAGGAUGUAACCCCACCUUAAUGCAACUAGAUAAAUUUAUGCUCCACGCACAUUACAUCCUUCAUCAAUAACAAUCAUUCCAUGAUUCUCAUAUACUCAUAAAACCUAAUACAACUCGUAUCCAUAAAUUCCCUUUACUCAAGUCAUCCUUGAUGUCAAACUCUACAAGUCAUAACUGAUUCACCAGUAUACCUCAAACUGAAACUAAUACAAAUCUUAGCCGUGCAAUCAACUUAUCAAUAGCAGACUCCCCCAUUUGUCUCAAAGCCAUAGAUCAAAACACUCAAAAACUCACAAUGUCCAUACUCUAUUACCGCCAUAAUACCAUAGUGAGAUUAAACUAAAUCCUGCAUAAGCUCGUGCAACACAAAUCAUCUAGUACCUCAAAUCAUCUACAAAUCUCGCAUUCACCCUCGUAAUAGUCAAGCCCACUCUCAUAAGUGAUCCAAACUCAAGUUGCAACACACAUAUUUCACUGGUAAAAGCGUACUUCCAACAAACAACAUUUGGAUCACACACCCUUAGGACACUCCGCCGGAGAUAGCCCACCUGCUUUGCCUUAAACUAACAUCUCUUCAUACCCUUCCACCGUCAUAAAUAUCAUGCAAUCACUUAAUCUUCAUGAGUCUGAACUCAUAUCACGACAUGAAAUCUACUUCACUCCCUAACUAAAAAACAUGAAAAGAUCCUUCAACACACCCAUAACUCGGGGCUAUUCAUCAAAUCAAGAUAGAAAUCAAGAACCAAAAUAGUUCUUUCUACCCUCAAGAAGACCCUUCUUGUCACUGUCAUGACCCAAAAUCAGAGGACCACGACUGGCACCCGGUGCCUACUCAACCGAGCACCACGUACCUUAUUUUUUUCUCUAUAAGACUCGUCACGCGCCAUGAUAGGCCACAUCUAUAUGUAUAAUUUACAAUAUUAGAACUUAACUCACAUAACUAAUCCAAAAAAAAAGAUUUAUAUAGAUACAUAGGGGCCGACAAGGCCGUUGACAUGUCAUACAUAAAACUAUACACAUGACUUUAUCUGUAAAACCUCUAAGAAAACAUGAUCAUAAUAUGUAUAAGUUGGGAAAGGCUCCCUGACAUCUUCAUAAAAUAAAGUAGAACGUGACUCGGUAGUACUCUAGGAAGAUGUGGAGCUCACCAACCAAAAGCUGAUAUCUGGAGGCAACCUACAGUAGAUGGUCCUCACCUCGCCUAUCUACACCUGUGUGGCAUGAGACACAAUGCCCCAGGAAAAGGGACGUCAGUACAAAGAAUGUACCAAGUAUGUAAGGCAGAAAUGAAACAUAUACGUAAUAAUAAUAAGAUACUAUCUCGGGGAGAGAUAAAAGUCAACUUAUAACUUCUGACUUGCUGCUGAGGGCCAUAACAUAUAGAAUAAAACCCAUUCGUAUAUAUAAAUAAUACUAAGAUAUAGUAGUUCUGAUUACAUCAUUCUCGUGGCGUUAACUUCCCAACUGAUCAGUGGUAACUUCUCGACCAGUCGUCGCACAGUGGUAAAUGUAUGACUGCCCGACCGGCCGUAGCUCGGUGGUAUUUAUGUAAUUUCCCAACCGGCCGUAGCUCGGUAUUAAAUGCAUGACUUCCCGACCGGCCGUAGCUCGGUGGUAAAUGAAUAUGCAUGAGUGCCCAACCGGUGGUAAAAAUGAUACAUAACUACCCAACUGGUAGUAACUGCCCGACCGACCAUAGUAAAUGAAGAUGCAGGACUGCCCAACUCCGUAAAAUAGAACCCGUGGAAUGUUACUACAAAUAUCAUGACGGAGAAGAUCUGUGGAUUUGAAUUUUCCAGAAAUAUUGGGUGAUUAAGGACAACUUAACUUUCACUAAAAGUGUAACUAAGAAAGUUUGCAAUUCUAACAAAUAAACUUGCUAGUUAUUUUUCAAAAAUUCACAAGGAUAACAUUAGCCAAAUAUUAUUUUACUUUACUUAUUUUUGAAAGGCUAGACAUCCAUUAAUGAUAAACUCUAGAGGUGAGCCGUUUAUGAACACAGUGAUAUAUUCGGCAACAUUGCUAUAGCACCAUUAGAAGAGCCACCCGGUUCACACAAACUCCACCUUUGAAAAGAACCGUGACAUUAAGAAAACCAAAGGCUUAUUGAUCAUUGAAACUUGAAAAAUAAGAAGCUACGAACAAAAAAAGAAGCUAUAAUAUUAAGGAAAUUGCAAAGUUAUGAAGUAAAAUGCGGAAAGAAAACUAAAUAUGUACAAAAGGGGGGUUUAGAUGAAUAUACAUAAGAAGGAAUGAAUAUAUACAUGAGAGUAACUUUAUAUAUAGACCAAACUAGAACAAUAAUGAAAAGUAAAAUAAAAGGUAAAGUUAUAUACAUACCAAGAGUGAAAUAUAAGCAUGAAGAAAGAAGAUAGUGUCAUAAUUACAGUCAAACUACCAAAUCAAAAAUCAAAGUAGGGCCACCCCCUCAAAUGAAAGCUAGCAUUUUCCUCAAUGCUGACUAACCAAAAAUAAGCUUAAAAAGAAAGAUAGAGAGUGAAGAAAACUCCCUAUGGAUCCUCUGUCUGCAUGGGGUCCUGUGGUAGCAUGGGAUCCUGUGGCUGGGCACCUGGAUCAGCUGUCCCGGGGGCCUGUGGCUGGCCAAAAGCAGCAUCCUCCACCUCUGCCAACUCAAUCUCAACAUCAUCCACUUGGGGGAUAAUCCUCCUCCUCUUUGGAGCUCUCUUAAUCUCCUACUCUGGAACCUGCUCUAUUUGAGUUGCUGAGGCUGAUCAUGCAAUAGUAGCUGCAAAGGCAAAUGGUCAACUGCGUUCAUCUUCUCCACUUCUCCCCUCAAUUCCUUAACCGACUCUUUCGAUGCCCGCAUCUUCUUCUGCUUAUUUGUGUAUUUGCUCAGCUCCUUAUGUAUUUUCCCUUGAUCAUCAAGAACAUCCAUUAUCAGCUUUUGGUUAUCAAGGAGAUUUUUCUGAUUGUCCAGAAGCUCUUUGAAAGUCUCCUCUACCAAAGCUGGCACCUGUGGCUGUAGGGGAACUGGCUGAGCUGCCACUGAACUAGAGAGUACAGACAGCUUAGAAGUUGCUGCCUACAUCCAGUUGUUGAUACUGGAGAGUAUUUGGCUCAAUCUGUGGGCAGUCAACGGGUAUGCUGAGGAGGAUGGAAUAUCUGGAGGGGUGGAAGUAUAUGGUCCGGAGGCAGGCUUUGGUAUGGCAGUGGGAGGCUGAGAAGAAGUGACUACUACUACUACUGGCUCUUCAGACUGGCCAAUAGAAGUAGUGGCUUUUCCCUUGGAUUCUUUGGCUUUGGGGUUGUCCUCAGCCUUGAGGUUGUACCAUGAAAAGGGCAUCUUGGGUUUCACCUUCAUGUCAAAGUUUCUUUUCUCCACCUCCUGGUCUUCCAAAUACAUUGUAAGGAACUUUGGGAAAAGGGUAUGAUCUGUCACCCUCAUUGACCACCCUAGUGAUCACCCUAGACAUGACAUUUCCGACAUUUAUCAGGAACCCCACCAUAAUAGUUGGCACUAAUAUCGCCCGGGAGACCAGCAUGGAGUUUUCAUGGGUAGUGGGGUCCAGCUUGCUGCAUACAAAAGUCUCCCACCCCUUCGCCUCAAAGUUUAAGGUUUUCCUCAAGAUAGGAACCCCUGUUGUCACCUAUGCUGGGGUGGUGCCCGGGAGAGCCAGAUAUGAUGCCAACCAUGGACGGGCUGCCUGAUCAAGUGCUAACUUCUCCAAGUACAAUGCUUCAUUUUCCUCAUUAAAGCCCAGGUAUUCAUUUAUUGUCUUCCCAUUAAACUUCACUUUCAAGUUCCGCACUUUAGUCACUUUGGUAUCCUUCUUGAUGUGAGAAGUAUUGGCGUAAAACUCUUUGACUAAGUGCUCGUUUGCCUUUGAUACCCUGCUGGUGAAGUAAUCCCACCUCACUCGUUCAUUGAAUUGCUAUUUUCCCGUUGGGGUUGUGUGGCAGGAGAUCCCUCUCUAUGAACUGGCACUCAUGAAUACGUACCCUUAGAGGCCACCAUUCCUAAAACUUGAGCUCACUGACGAACUGCUUUUGCCACACCUCGGGGUUUCUAGUUCUUUCCACACCCCCGGGUUGGGGCCACCCCCUCCCUCUUCAUCCGGUACCCCAACAUCUACAUCCUAUCCAGGUAACGAAGGCGUAGGUAAGGUUGAAGCUGAACUAUCACUGCUCUCUGCUGAACCCUCAGACGACUCAGAAGAAAUAUGAACUAAAGCACGAGCAGUAGAGAAGGCUGGAGGUGUAAGUUCAUCUCUCAACCUAAGUCUCCCGAGGAAUUCUCGAACAUAUUCUGGCAUUGAAUCAGACUCUGAUGCCUCCCGGGAGUGCAAGUACUCACUUCCCCCAGAAUGGGAAGCAGCUCUAUUUGCAACUGUAAUGAUUUUUCUAGUUUCCCCAAUUGCUUUCUGAACUGCUAGGGUCAAUUAAAUCAUGCCUCGUCCCCUACUUCGGGAGGACUCUGCUCUACCCUUUUGUUUAUCACCACCUCCUCUAGAUUUAAUCAUUGUCUGUAUGUAUAAUUAGUUGAAACUUGUUAGUGCAAAGACUAGAAGAAGCAGUGCAAGUUGACAGUGCAAGACAAAACAGCAGACCGCGGACCGCGAAAAAUGUACCGCGGCCGCGAAGAGGUGGGAUUCAGACUACCCACUUUCUGAUUCAACAGCACCGUGGACCGCGGAAAAUGGAGCACGGCGCGGUAAGUGCACCGCGAACCGCAAAAAAUCAAUCGCGGCCGCAGUCACUCAAAUGUACCUCUCUGAACUUUAUCAUCGCGGACCGCAGAAAAACCAUCGCGACCGCGGAGAGGCACUACUAUCAGCAAAAAAUGCCAUCGCUGAACGCGAUUAUCAAGACUUAAAAAUAUCACAAAAGAUAGAUGACCGCAGAAAAAUAACCGCAGACUGCGAAGGUCAAAUUUGGGCUCAGCACCUAGGGUUUCGAAUUUUUUAUGCAUUUUAGCAUUAAUCAAUACAUUAUCAAUCCACUAGGUAGUUAAUAACCUUUUCUGACUAAUUAAAACCUAAUCUAAUUAUCACUAUGGAACCCUAAGUCAAAAUUGAAAGAAAAAAAGAAGAAGGAGAAGUAAUAACUAUCAAUUUAAAAGAAAAUACGAACAAAAUUAAAGACUAAGGGUUGAUUGGAAGUACUAGAUGUGAAGUGUGAAACAAAUUCAACUCAGUUCUUAUUGUUGUGCAAGCUAGGGCAAGAGUAAAUAGUAGAUUAUGUUGAUUGAGAGUGCAAAGGGCGAAAAAUGUAAAAGGGGGCCCUGAGGUUCUAUUUAUAGACAAGCCCUGGGUCCCACUUAUUCUUACCUACCGCGGUCGCGGUAAAUGCACCGCGGACCGUGGUUGUGAAACUCAGAAGGGCUGUUACUUUGAGACCACCGCAAAUCGCAAAAAAUGCUUCGCGACAGCGGUAAGCCACCGCUGACCGCUAAAAAUGCACCGAGGCAGCGGUUAAAACUUCAGAGAGCCUCCACUUUUGACCUUUUAGCACCGCUGACCGUGAACAAUUUCCUCCUCUGCGAUAAGGCCAUCACGAUCGCGAAAAAUCGAGCGUGACAGUGAUCCAAACUUCAGAGAGUGCCAAAUUUUUCCAGAUUAUUCCUGCACUGCAUCAAACAUCCCUAUACAUAUCUCACAACCAGUUAAUUCAAAACAAAUCCUACUCUAAGAAGAAAAUCAAAGAAAAAUAAAAAGAAAAACACAUGGGUUGCCUCCUAAGAAGGUCCUGAUUUAAUGUCACGGCACGACGCAUGUUACCAUCAAUCACUUGAGAUGGAUCAGUGCCAGCACGUGGCUGUCUUCAAACUUGCCAAGAUAGUGCUUGACUCUGUUCCCAUUAACUCUGAAGAUCUCACCAUUUUUGUUUUUCAAAUCAAGGUCACCAAACGGAGUCACAAGCAUCACCUCAAAAGGUCCACUCCAUUAUGAUUUAAGAUUACCCAGAAACAGUCGUAACCGGGAAUUGAACAAGAGAACCAAAUGUCCCACUUUACCGGUAGUGAACUUUUUGAUAUCGGGGUCGGAUUCUGAUUUCAAAAGUUGGAGUAGGUCCGUAAUAUGAAUAUGACUUGUGUGCAAACUUUGGGGUCAAUAGGACAUGGUUUGAUAAGUUUUGGCAUCAGAUGUAAAAAUUUGAAGUUUCAAGUUCAUUAAGUUUUGAUUGGGGGGUGAUUCGUGAUUUUAGCAUUGUUUGAUGUGAUUUGAGGACUCAACUAAGUUCAUAUGGUGUUUUGGGACUGGUAGGUAUAUUUGAUUGAGUUUCGGGGGACUCGGAUGUGUUUCAAAUAGUUAACAGAUUGGGAAUUGAUUUUGGAAGAUGUCUGAAGUUCUGUGAUCUGGUGCAUCUGGUUUCCUUAUACGCGAUCGCGAGAGAUGGUCUGCGAUCACAUAGGCUAGCAGGGCGAAAGGAUGGAUUUGUUCUUUGCGUUUGCAGACAGGACUAUGCAAAUGUGUAUUAGUGUGAGGUGGUGCUUCGCGAACACGUGGCCAAGGUUCCAUCCGUGUAGUGUUAAGUAGACCAAAGCUGGGCCACACGCUUUUCUCAUCAUGAACGUGUGGGCUUGUUCGCAAUCGCGUAAGUAUGAGAGUUAGUGAAUCGCGUUUGUGUGGAGUUUUCCACUUUUGUGUAGGGUUAAAUUAUAAGGCAACGAAGUUGUGCUUCGCGACCGAGAGGCUAUUUCGCGAUCACGAUUAAGGAAUCACUAGGCAGUAUUAAACAUUUCAAAAUCAAGGGUUUGGCCAUUUUUAUCAAAACUUGAGUUUGAAAGCUCAAAUUUGGGCGAGAUUUCGCGAAAUUUUCAGAGACAUCAAUUGGGUAAUGAUUCUUCACUUGAUUUUGGUUAUAUCCCAAUAAUCUAUCAUUAAUUUUAUCUUUUAAUUUCAUAUUUGGGUUGAAAGUUUGGAAAAAAUGGGAAGAAGUUCUUCAACUAAGAUUUUGGGUUUUGAUUGAGAUUUUGAUGUCGGAAUUGGAUAAUUUUAGUACGAGUGAACUCGUGAGUGAAUGGGUGUUCAUAUUUUGUAACUUUUACCUGAUUCCAAGACGUGGUCCUGGGGAGACUUUUUAGGGCGAUUUUCUAUUUUUUUGCUCAAGCUUUGAUUUCAUUAAUUAGAUUAGUUUCUUGUAGUUUUAUUCAUAGUAUGCUAGAUUUGAGCCAUUCAAAGUCAGAUAAUCAUGGAAAAGACAUUGUUACCAAUUGAUUGACUUUGGUUCGAGGUAAGUGGCUUGCCUAACGUUGUGUGGGGUAACUACCCCUUAGGAUUUGGUACUGCUAUGAUAUGUGAGCAUCGUGUACGUGAAGUAGAGUGCGUACACGGUCUAUUUGUUGUAAAACUCCAUUUUUCACUAAGUAAUAACCUGUUUCACUUUAAUUGAGUUAUACUAGCAUGUGUAAUUAUCAUGUUUAGCCUAGAAUAACAUCUCUACUUGUCUUAAAUGCUUAUCUGAACUCUGUGCAGCAUGCUUAGUGGAUUCCGUGCUCUCCCUUGACUUGUACUUAAUUUAAAUUGUAGGAUUUCAUGUUGUAUAUGUUAUUUCCAUUGUUUGAGCUGCCUUUUUACUUUGGACUAUAGAAUGGUAUUUCGGGAGAUCCCCCUGCAUAUAUGCUCUGGGACUACGGGAUAGUAUUCCGUGAGAUCCGCCAUGCAUAUUCACUUUGUGACUACGGAACAGUAUUCUAGGAGAUCCCUCUACACAUUUAAGUUUGGGACUACGAGACGGUAUCUCGGGAGACCCUCUGUUGUUAUUUCUGUGUACUGUAUAGUUAUCCUUAUGUGAUUUCUUUCUAGUUAAAUUUCAUUACUUCUUUAACUACGAUAUUUUGUUCCGUAUAUAUAUAUAUAUAUAUAUAUAUAUAUAUAUAUAUAUAUAUAUAUAUAUAUAUAUAUAUAUAUANNNNNNNNNNNNNNNNNNNNNNNNNNNNNNNNNNNNNNNNNNNNNNNNNNNNNNNNNNNNNNNNNNNNNNNNNNNNNNNNNNNNNNNNNNNNNNNNNNNNNNNNNNNNNNNNNNNNNNNNNNNNNNNNNNNNNNNNNNNNNNNNNNNNNNNNNNNNNNNNNNNNNNNNNNNNNNNNNNNNNNNNNNNNNNNNCACAAUUGCUGCUAUUACAGAGACUUCAAGGUACAUCUGCCUAUGUCCACAGACCUCGAAGUCCCCUUUUAUCCCUUCUGAUGUUGUUUCCUUUUUAUUUCUUCUAUUACUGAUGUAUAUAACAAUAGACAAAAAUCUUAGAAGCUUGUGACUUACGGUGUUCCGGGUCUUGGGAGAUUUUGUGUAUAUCCGAGAGUGGUCGUUGUAUAUGUUGAGCGGCACUUAUAUCAGCGUUAAAUUAUCUGUUACAAUUAGUUGUAAAUUUUAUGUUUUCAUUUCAUUAUUCCGUAAAUGUUAGUCUUACCUAGUCGUAGGGUCUAGGUGCCAUCACGAUAUCUUAGGAGGGAAGAUUUGGGUGGUGACAGGUUGGUAUCAGAGCUCUAGGUUUAUAGGUGUCGUGAGUGACAAGCUGAUUAUUUAGAGUCUCAUGGAUCAAUACGGAGAUGUCUGUACUUAUCUUUGGGAGACUAUGAAAUGUUAGGAAAGUAACACUUCUUUGAUUUCCUUGUCAUGCGAAAAUUUGUUGACUUCGAAAUUCUAAACUUCUGUCUUCUAUUCUCUCACAUAUGGUGAGGACACGUACAGCCGGAGAUGACCAGGCCCCCGUGCCCCCUGCUAGAGCCACCAUAGACUGGGGCUGGGGUAGAGGCCCAGGACAUCUACGUGGUGCAACUAGAGCACCCACACGAGCUGCCACAAAGGAGCUACCAGUAGCUCUAGUCGGAGUGUAGGCACCUAAGAUGUGUACUACUACUGCACCAGCUCUUUAGGAGACCCUUGCACAAUUCAUGAGCAUGUUCAGUACUCUAGCUCAGGCAUGGUUUAUUCCCCUUGCUCCUGCCACAUCUCAGUCUGGAGGAGGAGCACAGACUCCUGCCGCCCACACCCUAGAGUAGUGGGUUCAGGUUGAUCAGAUUCCAGAGGUUAUACCGGUGCCACCUGCAGCCCCAGUUCAUUCCGAAAGUAGGGUAGCAAUUUCUGAGGAGGAGCAACAUAGGCUCGAGAGGUACAAGAAGUACCACCCUCUUACCUUCAGUGGUUUGGCGGCAGAUGAUGCUCAAGGAUUUCUAGAGGAGUGCCACCGUAUCCUCCAAACUAUGGGCCUAACAGAGUCGAGUGAGGUUUCUUUCACUGUGUUUCAGCUUAAAGGAGCAGCCUAUCAGUGGUGGCAUGCUUAUGAGUUGGACAGUCUAGCUGAGGAGGCUUUACUUACAUGGACUCAGUUCUCGGACAUGUUUUUGAGGGACUAUGUUCCCCAAAGCCUCAGAGAUGCAUGGAGCACCGAGUUUGAGCAGUUGCGCCAGGGUGCUAUGACUGUGUCAGGGUAUGCAGUUCGUUUAAGUGAUUUGGCUAGACAUACACCAGUUGUGUUUUCUACAAUUCGAGAGAGGGUCCGUUGAUUUAUCGAGGGGCUCCAUCCCAACAUCAAGACUAACAUGCCCGGGAGUUAGAGAUGGAUAUUUCAUACUAGUAGGUUGUGAGUAUUACUAGGAGAGUGGAGGGCAUGCUUUCUCGGGAGAGAUAGGAGAGAGAGGCCAAGAGGUCUCGAGAGUUUGGCCAUUAUUCUAGUGCUCGUGCCCCAGCUGUAGUUCGACAUGGUAGGGGCUAUGUGAGUCGCCCCGUUCAUUCAGCUCUUCCAGCUGCUAGUGGUAUUCUAGCUCCUCCUAGGCCCUAGAAUCCUUAUUAUGCACCUCCAGUAUCUAGUAUGCCUUCUGCACGGGUGCUUUUAGCGGUUAGUCCAGUAGACCUGGCCCGAGCCAGCCACAUCAUCCAUGCCCUCCCAAACCUUGUUUUGAGUGUGGCGACACUUUCCAUAUGGUAAGGGAUUGUCCCAGACUUAGGAGGGGUGUGCCUCCACAGUCCUAUCAGGCAUGACAUGCUACACAGGGUCCCUAGUCUAUGAUUACAGCACCCGCUACCACUUGACCUGCUCAACCAACUCGAGGUGGAGGCUGGGGAGGUAAAGGUCGCCCUAGAGGGGGAGGCUAGGCCAGAUACUAUGCUCUUCCUACUCAUACAAAGGUAGUUGUUUUAGACUCUGUCAUUAUAGGUAUUGUUCCGGUCUGUCAUAGAGAUGCGUCAGUUCUAUUCGAUCUAGGUUCCACUUAUUCCUAUGUGUCAUCUUAUUUUGCCUUGUAUUUGGGCGUAUCUCAUGAUUCUUUGAGUUCUCCUAUUUAUGUGUCUAUGCUUGUAGGAGAUUCUAUUGUUGUUAACCAUGUGUAUCGGUCAUGUUUGGUUGUUAUUAGUGGUUUUGAGACCAGAGCCGAUUUAUUAUUGCUCAAUAUGGUAGAGUUUGAUAUUAUCUUGGGCAUGAACUGGUUGUUACUCCAUUAUGCUAUUCUUGGUUGUCACGCCAAUAUCGUGAUGUUGGCUAUACUAGGCUUACCGUUAUUAGAGUGGAGGGGUACCUUAGGUUACACUCUCAGCAGAGUUAUGUCAUUUCUUAAAGCUCAACGAAUGGUUGAGAAGGGAUGUUAUGUGUAUCUAGCUUAUGUGAGAGAUGUUAGUAUUGAUACCCCAACAGUUGAGUCAGUCCCAGUAGUAAGGAAUUUCUCUGAUGUGUUUCCAGCUGAUUUUUCAGGCAUGCCGCCCUAGAGAGAUAUCAACUUUGGUAUUGAUUUGUUGCCGGGCACUCAGCCCAUCUCUAUUCCUCCAUAUCAUAUGGCUCGUCCUGAGUUGAAGGAAUUGAAGGAACAUUUAUAGGAAUUGCUUGAUAAGGGCUUUAUUCGGCCAAGUGUGUCACCUUGGGGGUGCUCCUGUCUUGUUUGUGAAGAAAAAGGAUGGUUCUAUGCGUAUGUGCUUUGAUUAUCGCAAGUUAAACAUAGUCAGAGUGAAGAAAAGUAUCCUCUGCCUCGUAUUGAUGACCUAUUUGAUUAGUUACAGGUUACCAUAGUGUUUUCCAAGAUUGACUUACGUUCAUGUUAUCAUCAGUUAAAGAUUCUGGAGCCAGAUAUCUCGAAGACUGCUUUCAGGACUCGGUAUGGUCAUUAUGAGUUCCUUGUGAUGUCAUUUGGGUUGUCCAACACCCCAGCAGCAUUUAUGCAUUUGAUGCACAAUGUAUUUCGGCCCUAUCUUGAUUCAUUUGUCAUUGUGUUUAUUGACGGCAUUCUAGUGUACUUCUAGAGUCGGGGGGAUCAUGAGUAGUACCUGCGGACUGUGCUUCAGACCUUGAGAGAAAAGUAGUUAUAUGCAAAAUUCUCAAAAUGUGAGUUCUGGUUAGAUUUAGUGGCAUUUUUUGGUCACAUAGUGUCAAGUGAGGGGAUCAAGGUGGAUCCGAAGAAGGUGGAAGCAGUGUAGAGUUGGCCCAGACCAUCCUCAUCUACGGAGAUUCGAUGUUUUCUUGGUUUGGCGGGGUAUUACCAUCAUUGUUGAGGGAUUCUUAUCUAUUACAACACCUAUGACUAGGCUGAUCCAAAAAGGUGCUCCGUUCAGGUGGACAGAGGAGUAUAAGGCGAGCUUUCAAAAGCUCGAGACAACUUUGACUACAGCCUCAGUAUUGAUAUUGCCUACAGGUUCGAGGUCUUAUACUGUUUAUUGUGAUGCGUCGUGGGUUGGUCUUGGCACAGUGUUGAUACAGGACCAUGGGGUGAUUGUGUACUCGUCCCGACAGCUGAAGGUGCAUGAAAAAGAACUAUCAUAUCCACGAUUUUGAAUUAGCAGCUAUUGUUCAUGCCUUGAAGAUUUGGACACACUAUUUUUACGGUGUCCCUUAUGAGAUCUACAAUGAUCACCGGAGUUUGCAGCAUCUGUUCAAGCAGAAGAAUCUUAACUUGCGUCAGCGGUGGUGGUUGGAGCUUCUUAAAGAUUACUAUUAUGUACCAUCCCAGGAAGGUUAAUGCAGUGGCCAUUGCCUUGAGUCGCAGGGCAGAGAGUUUGGGGAACUUAGCAUAUUUACCAACAGCAAAGAGGCCAUUGGCAUUAGAUGUUCAGGCCCUGGCCAACCAGUUUGUCAGAUUGGAUAUUUCUGAGCCGAGUUCGAUUUUGACUUGUGUGGUCCUCCAGUCUUCUCUUUAUUAUCGUAUCAGGGAGCGCCAGUAUGAUGACCCCAUCUACUUAUCCUUAAGGACACAGUUCAGCACGGUGAUGCUAAAUAGGUCACUAUUGGUGAUGAUGGUGCAUUGAGGAUGCAGGGCAGGCUAUGUUUGCCCAAUGUAGACGGAUUCUAUGAGUGGAUUCUUUAGGAGGCUCACAGUGUGUGAUACUCCAUUCAUCCGGGUGCUACGAAGAUGUAUCGGGACUUGAGGCAGCAUUAUCGGUGGUGUAGAAUGAAAGAGGAUAUAGUAGAAUAUGUAGCUCGAUGUCUAAAUUGCCAGCAGGUGAAGUAUGAGUAUCAACGACCGUGUGGAUUGCUUCAGAAGUUACAUAUUCCGGAGUGGAAAUGGGAGCGAAUCACUAUAAAUUUUGUUGUUGGACUCCCACAGACUCAAUAGAAGAUUGAUGCAGUUUGGCUAAUUGUGGACAGGCUGACCAAGUUAGCUCAUUUCAUUCCUAUGAUGACUACCUAUUCUUCCAAGAAGUUGGCUCGAGUUUAUAUCCACGAGAUUGUCAGGCUUCAUGGUGUUCCGAUAUCUAUCAUCUCAGACCGGGGUACACGAUUUACAUCACGAUUCUAGAGGGUCGUACAACAUGAGUCAGGUACUCGGGUGGAGUUGAGUACAUCAUUUCACCCUCAGAUGGACGGAUAGUCCGAGUGCACUAUUCAAAUUCUAGAGGAUAUGCUUCGUGCAUGUGUGAUGGAGUUUGGAAGUUCUUAGGAUCAGUUCUUGCCACUUGCGGAGUUUGCCUACAACAACAGUUAUCAGUCCAACAUUCAGAUAGCAUCGUAUCAGGCUCUAUAUGGUAGGAAGUAUCGGUCCCCAAUGGUUUGGUUCGAGUCGGGCGAGGCAAGAUUAUUGGGCACAGUCUUGGUUCAGGAUGCAUUGGAGAAGGUUAAGCUGAUUCAGGAUAGGAUUCGCACAACCCAGUCCAGAUAGAAGAGUUGUGUGGAUCGAAAGGUUCGCGAUGUUGCAUUAAUAGUUGGAGAGCGUGUCUUGCUUCGGGUUUUGACAAUGAAGGGCGUUAUGAGGUUCGAAAAGGAGGCAAGUUGAGCCCAAGGUUCAUUGGUCUAUUUGAGGUGUUGCGGCGAGUUGGGGAGAUUGCUUAUGAGCUUUCCUUGCCUCCUAGUUUGAUAGGCAUUCAUCCGGUAUUCCAUGUUUCUAUGCUCCAAAAGCACUAUAGUGACCCGUCUCAUUUGUUGGAUUUUAGCUCAGUCUAGUUGGACAAGGAUCUAUCCUAUGUUGAUGAGCCAUUGGCUAUUUUGGACAGGCAGGUUCAACAGUUAAGGUCAAAGAACAUUGCUUCAGUGAAGGUUCAGUGGAGGGGUCAGCCAGUCGAGGAGGUGACUUGGGAGACCAAGCAGGAUAUGCACAGACGUUAUCCUCAUUUUGCCACCACUUCAGGUAUGUCUCUUUGCUCGUUCAAGGACGAAUGAUUAUUUUAAGAGGGGGAAGAUGUAAUGACCCGACCGGUCAUUUUGAGAGAAAUAUCCCUGAUCCCCUAUUUUCUGCUUCCCCCGUAUCUUAUUCUACUUAGGUGACUUGCUGGGAGGUUUUUUUUGAUUUCGGAGUGUUUUGGGACACUUGGUCCCUAAACCGAAGCUUAAGCCUUAGGAUUUUGACCGUAGUCGGAACUGUGUGAAGACGACUCCGGAAUGGAGUUUCGUUGGUUCUGCUAGCUUCGUUGAGUGAUUUUGGACUUAGAAGCGUGUCCGGAUUGUGUUUUGGAGGUAUGUGGUUAAUUUAGGCCUAAAAUGGCAAAAGUCGAAUUUUUGGAGUUUUUGACCGGUAGUGGACUUUUUGAUAUCGAGGCCGGAUUCUGAUUCCGGAAGUUGGAGUAGGUCCGUAAUGUUGAAUAUGACUUAUGUUUGAUAGGUUUCGGCAACAGAUGUAGAAAUUUCAAGUUUCAAGUUCAUUAAGUAUGGAUUGGGGGGUGAUUCGUGAUUUUAGCAUUAUUUAAUGUGAUUUGACUACUCGACUAAGUUCUUAUGGUGUUUUGGGACUGGUAGGUAUGUUUGGUUGAGGUCCCGAGGGGCCUCGGGUGAGUAUCGGAUAGUUAACGGAUUGGGAAUUGAUUUUGGAAGAUGGCUGAAGUUCUGUGAUCUGGUGCAUCUGGUUUCCUUAUAUGCGAUCACGAGAGAUGGUCCGCGAUCGCGUAGGCUAGCUGGGCGAGAGGAUGGAUUUGUUCUUUGCGUGCACGGACAGGAGUAUGCGAAUGCGUAUUGGUGUGAGGUGGUGCUUCACGAACACGUGGCCAAGGUCGCAUUCGCGUAGUGUUAAGUAGACCAAAGCUGGGCCACGCACUUUGCUCAUCGCGAACGCGCGGGCUUGUUCUCUAUCUCAUAAGUAUGAGAGUUAGUGAAUCGUGUUCGUGUAGGGUUAAAUUCUGGGGUAGAUAAGUUGUGCUUCGCGAUCGUGAGGCUAUUUUUGCGAUCGCGAUUAAGGAAUCAUUGGGCAGUAUUAAACAUUUCAAAAUCAAGGGUUUGGCCAUUUUUAUCAAAACGUGAGUUUGAGAGCUCGGAUUUGGGCGAGAUUUUGAGGUAUUUUCAGAGACAUCAAUCGGGUAACAAUUCUUGACUUAAUUUUGUUAUAUCCCAAUAAUCUAUCAUUAAUUUCAUCUUUUAAUUUCAGAUUUGGUUUGAAAAUUUGGGAAAAAUGGGAAGAAGUUCUUCAACUAAGAAUUUAGGUUUUGAUUGAGAUUUUGAUAUCGGAUUUGGAUAAUUUUGGUACAAUUGAAUUCGUAAGUGAAUGGGUGUCCUUAUUUUGUUACUAUUACCCGAUUCCGAGAUGUGGGCUCGGGGAGGCUUUUUGGGAUGAUUUUCUAUUUUGUUUGAUCAAGCUUUGAUUCCAUUAAUUAGAUUAGUUUCUUGUAGUUUUAUUUAUGGUAUGUAAUUGCUUUUGGCUAGAUUUGGACCAUUCAGAGUCGGAUAUUCGUAGAAAAGGAAUUGUUACCGAUUGAUUGACCUUUGUUCGAGGUAAGUGGUUUGCCUAACCUUGUGGGGGAGAAAUCUCCUUAAGAUUUGGUACUAUUAUGAUAUGUGUUGAUACCCAAUUUUUUCAUAUAUAUUUUUAGUACAUAAAAAUACUUUCAAAAUAGCAUAUAUGCAUAAAUUAGUAUGCAUAAGCAUUUUUAUAAUUUUUUCUAUAAUUUUAAAUGCUUCAAAUUGAUUUAUUUCCUCUCUUUUUCUCAUAAAAUCUUCAAUAAUUAUCCUUCAAAUUAUUUUUGUGGUGAUUUAGCUAUCUAAAUUCUGUAUUUAUGCCAAAAUAUUAUUAAAAUAUUUUUAGUGUAUUUUUAUAAUUGCAUUUGCAUUUUCUAAAGUCAAUUUGCAUAUAUUUACAAUACUAGCCCUAUUAAUACAUAAUUAUAUUUUUAUGCAUAAAAUGAUCUUAUAUAUUUUUAAAAUAUUAAACAACUAUUUAAAUAAUUUUAGUAUACGAAAUUAUUUUUUAAAAAUCAUUUAUUAUUUAUUAUAAAUUAUAUAGUGUUAAAUUGUCUAUUUAAAACUUAGCCAAAUUGUAUUUCAAUUUCAGCCUCAAUUCAACCCAAUACCCCAGCCCAAUUUCAGAUAAAACUACCCGACCCAGGCCCUAAAUGUACCUACUUGACCCAAGAGCCCACCAGAUCAGAUCAUGGCCGUUGAUCUUUUUAGAUCAACGACCUUCGUUAAAACUUACCUUUUUUAAUUCCAAACGACUCCCAACCCUAAUCAUUUCUAUGCACCUGCCGCCCUAAAAUCCUCUCUGCUCUCAAAACACUCCAACCCAACCCUAAUCUUCAAACACCGACCACCCAUCUUCGGUGACCUCUCAUCGUUUCUUAAGCCUUCCAUGGCUUCUUUCAUGCCAUUCUUGCCUUCUCUAAGAUCCUCAAGGGCCCAGGGCCAUGACGACUUGCAUCUAGGGUUCAUCUCUUGCCUGUUCCUGGCUACUCCAGUGGGAUUCCAAGCAAAAUCAUUCUAUAUUUGCUACGAUCCUUGGGUUUCCAGACAAGUUUCUUCCUCUCUCUAUGGGUUUCUUUCGAAACCCUAAUUUUUCUUCUACACUUCCUAGAUCUGUACAGAUCUAGGACGCUUUGAGUUGUUUCUUGAAUGUUUUACACCAUCCUUGAGGUUCUUUACAAGAAUCAUGUGAUUUCAAGUAUUUUCCGUCUUCUUUUAAAACCAGGGUUUUCGGAACUUCUUUUUUAAAAACUUGUCUAAUUGAUUCUUUGUGUUUAAACUUCUAUUUCUUACAUUUUGACUGAUUCUAUGAGUCUACUACAUCUUAACUCGUCUAUGCUGAAAGCCCUAAUUUUUAGGGUUCUUCAUUUGGUUCCGUGUAUUAGCAUGACUGACCGGUUCUCGUUUUGAGUUUCUGUGAUUUCUCGUGACUAUCUUGCCUCGAUAUGUUUCUACUGAGUUUCUUAACCUAAACUUACACUGAUUCUAUGUGCUUGUGUUCAUAUUGACUGUUCAAGACUUGCCUCUUUCUCAUUGAAUCGGUAUUGUUUAACUUUCAUGUUUGCUAGAGUUGUAUGUCGACUCUUGACUAUCCAUGUCUUACUUUAUUUAUAUGCUAAAUGCUAACUCUUUUCAUAACUUUCUCUUUGAUUGAUUCUGAAUUCCUUGUUUCUUGUUUUGAUUUGAAAACUUUCCUUUAAACCUUCGAUUCUUACCUUCCUACUCAAUGUGAUUGAUUUGCUUGCCUAAACUAACUUUCAACUUACCCUGUCUGCAUGGUUACCUGAUUCUUACCGACUAUCUCCUUAAUUAGAAUUUUCUGAACCUAGCCCUAAUUGUUUACUCUGAGCCUACUAUGUUUGAAUUAUUCCUUGUCUGUUAUGCUCCUGUUACACAUUGAUUUCUUUCCUUAUUUGCUACCUGUUCUUACCGUUUGAACUGAUUUCCUUAAUUAAGGGAGUACUUGUACUAAUUNNNNNNNNNNNNNNNNNNNNNNNNNNNNNNNNNNNNNNNNNNNNNNNNNNNNNNNNNNNNNNNNNNNNNNNNNNNNNNNNNNNNNNNNNNNNNNNNNNNNNNNNNNNNNNNNNNNNNNNNNNNNNNNNNNNNNNNNNNNNNNNNNNNNNNNNNNNNNNNNNNNNNNNNNNNNNNNNNNNNNNNNNNNNNNNNNNNNNNNNNNNNNNNNNNNNNNNNNNNNNNNNNNNNNNNNNNNNNNNNNNNNNNNNNNNNNNNNNNNNNNNNNNNNNNNNNNNNNNNNNNNNNNNNNNNNNNNNNNNNNNNNNNNNNNNNNNNNNNNNNNNNNNNNNNNNNNNNNNNNNNNNNNNNNNNNNNNNNNNNNNNNNNNNNNNNNNNNNNNNNNNNNNNNNNNNNNNNNNNNNNNNNNNNNNNNNNNNNNNNNNNNNNNNNNNNNNNNNNNNNNNNNNNNNNNNNNNNNNNNNNNNNNNNNNNNNNNNNNNNNNNNNNNNNNNNNNNNNNNNNNNNNNNNNNNNNNNNNNNNNNNNNNNNNNNNNNNNNNNNNNNNNNNNNNNNNNNNNNNNNNNNNNNNNNNNNNNNNNNNNNNNNNNNNNNNNNNNNNNNNNNNNNNNNNNNNNNNNNNNNNNNNNNNNNNNNNNNNNNNNNNNNNNNNNNNNNNNNNNNNNNNNNNNNNNNNNNNNNNNNNNNNNNNNNNNNNNNNNNNNNNNNNNNNNNNNNNNNNNNNNNNNNNNNNNNNNNNNNNNNNNNNNNNNNNNNNNNNNNNNNNNNNNNNNNNNNNNNNNNNNNNNNNNNNNNNNNNNNNNNNNNNNNNNNNNNNNNNNNNNNNNNNNNNNNNNNNNNNNNNNNNNNNNNNNNNNNNNNNNNNNNNNNNNNNNNNNNNNNNNNNNNNNNNNNNNNNNNNNNNNNNNNNNNNNNNNNNNNNNNNNNNNNNNGCCUAGACAAUGAUAUUGUCUAUGGAAUUUGGCAUUUUAGGCUAUUGGAGGCUUGGGGAAAUCAUUUGGGCCUACUUUCAGGCUCCCUAUAGUGUAACUUCUAAUUUUUCUUAUCUACUUAUGUAAUUCAUGCAAUAUUGGUCUGUAAUAAUUUGUUGGAAACAGAUAUUGGGGUCAGCUAGUGAAAAGGGGAGGGUAGUCAUACAUGUUAUCAAUAUCAAUGGGUAGAAACCCCGCCUUAAGUUUACAUUUCUCUGGGGGUUUAAAAUCCAUGUUUAGGACCAAUACAUUCCAAGCAUGUCAUGCAUUACAUAUCAUGUUCUUAGGUUUAAUGUUUUAGCAUCUCACUUGACAUUGUUUUAUCACUUAGAAACCCUGCUUUAGGCUAAAUAACAGCACUAACAUAAAAUUGUUGCUUUUGCAAUCAUGCUGUAACUUUUCGGGCAUCUAGAAAUCAUGCUUAGGAAUUCUGCAUAUCCUGAAAUCAUUCUGCAUUUAUAUGUGCAUGUUAGAUACCUCUGUUUUAGGAUCUCGUUCAUACUCGCUCAGUCACACCUAGUUUAAACUGCUGGUUAUGAAAGAUGUAAAAAUAAUGUUAUCCUAUUUAAGUAAAACUGGUCAUAAUCCAUGUAUCUUUGCAACACUUAGAAUAGCAUGCUUUGGGUAAAAUAACUUCUAAACUAUUUUAAUAAUUCUGAUAACUGUUGUACAUUAUCCUACGCCUACGCAAGCCUCAGGUAAUCAACCUUUAUAAAACUAGAAACUAUUCUUUGUGUUUACUGCUUAAUGGUUAACAUGCUUAAAAUCAUUAGGCAAACUGAUUAGGGCCCCUGUUUCUGAGUUAUAAAGCAAUCUGCAUGUCUCUUGUGUUCUGAUAUCCACCUAGACAUCAUAUCUUACGAUCCCAUUAAUAAUACUGCCCUUGUAUGUGUUUGAGUCAUGCUGUUUACAUGCAUUAUCUACGGAGGUAAACCUGAGCCUCUUAUUUGCUUCUUCCUGCUUUUAUUUGCUAAAAGUCCUAUGUGUUCUUGCUUAUCACCUUAGUAUUUUCUCCUUUAAACCUUAGGGGGUCUAUCUAGAACUGCCUGUAGGUAGAGGUCCUAACCUCCUCUAGGACCAUUAAGAAGGGACGGGUAACAACACGCAAUAGAGAUCGCUAAUCGACACUCACUUUAAUAACCGCUAAGGGAUGGGAAAGGUAGAUAUGGGAUAUGAUGACUACAUGCUAAUUCCACGUGUAGCCCCUCAUCGAGGAGUGUUUAUCGGGCAUUGCAUGGGGUGAUCCUGUAGGAUAACCAACCUAGGACCCCUCCUUCCCAAAUUCCCUUUGCUUUUAAUUUUCUAUAUGUAUACAAUUUGUCUAAGACUUUUCUUUGUCUUAUUAUUUGAGUCAUAUAAUGUCUAAAACCUGCUCUUAUUUGCAAUUAUUUGUUAAUGGACUAGUUAACAAGUAUAAGUUUGGCCGGGACCCACCGUUGUGGAUCGAGAGGGGUGCCUAACACCUUUCCCUCGAGGUUAUUUCAAGAACUUACCCUAAAACUCUGGUAAUGCAAACCAAUCCAAGAGGUAAUCACUCUGGGUUCCCUAAUGCACCAUAAUCCGUUAGGUGGCGACUCUUUAAAUACCUAAUUUUCAAAAGGAAAUGAGUUAUUACCCCCAUGUAAUGACGGAACCCGGACUUCUCUCCGUGGAGGGAAAAAGGGGCGCGAUAGCAUGACGACUCUGCUAGGGAUACCUUUAGGCUCUUACCAUAAUGAACUUGUCUUUAGUGAAUCAGUCCAAGAAUGAUUUACCCCAUACCCUUUCCCUUUAUUUGAAUUUAACUACCUAUUUUAAGCAUUUAUGUUUCUUUUAUUCAUGAAACUGACUUGUCUAUUUGUUUCCUUUUUUUGUAACUGUCUUUUCAAUUAUUUAAAUGCUUAAUUUAUUUUUCUUAUGUGCAAAUACUUGACUACAUGCUAUUAGUUACUGCAUAUAUCAUGCCCACAUCAUAUUCCACUCGUGCGUAUCAAAUUCUAUAGCAACGUUUCAUGAGUGGUUGCGCUCUUCCUAUUUAUUACCCUUAAAUUCGGAAAGGCUUAUUUGUGGUAAAACCAGUCAAUCAGCAGUGCAGUCGGCGGUUCCGUGCCUUUCCCUCUCAAGUUGUCCGCUUGAGGGUACCAGUCUAAAACCCUGUAGUAACCUUACUCUGAUCAAAAUUGUGCAUGCAUCAUGGUCAAACCUAGUCGGAUCAGUUAUGUUGUCCACAUAAUGAUCUUUUAAGAUAAGCCUUAUCCAAAGUCCACCGGGGUUUCCAUAAUCCCAACGGACAUAACCACGUUACGUGCAUUAAUUUGGAGAACUAAAUGCCAAUAUGCUAAUCAUGGAUGUAUAAAUAGUCGAGUCUGAUGGGGAAAAGGCUUAACCCUUUUGUUUUGCAGAAAAUGAGGCAUGAGGUCCCCAAAUUUUGUAUGGUUAGAAACAUUCCACUAUUGCUUCUAGAUUGGUGGGAGGAUCUUUCCUCAAGUGACAAGAAACAUGUAAGGAAGUACCUGGGUAACUUGCCUUCCCUGCUAGACAUUGAGCUAAACAACAAGUUGAUCGAGGCUGCCACUUUGUUUUGGGACAGUGAGAGGUCUGUGUUCCGUUUUGGCGACAUAGAAAUGACACCACUUCUAGAAGAAAUUGGAGGUCUUGCGGGAUUGACUUGGGAUAGUCCCGGAUUAUUGGUGCCGAAAAAUCGUACCGGUAAAGGGUUCUUAAAGAUGAUGGGAUUGAAGAAGAAUGUUGACCUGGUAUGCCUGAAGGAAUCUUACAUACCCUUCGAAUAUAUGUAUGAGAGGCAUGGCCAUAGCAAGUCCUACCGUACCUACCAUGAUGAUAUAUCUCUCAAUUCUCUAGGUCACAUCCACCGUAGAGUGUUCGUGUUCAUUGUAUAUUCUUAGGCCUGUCAGUGUUCCCAAUGAAAAGGAAAAGAAUCCACACAAGGUUGUCCAUGGUUGCCAAGACUUUGAUGGAGAAGAUUAAUGGACAGACAUACACUAUAGUCCCUAUGAUCAUAGCCGACAUCUACAGGGCUCUGAAGCGCUGACAAAGAGGGGUCAAGCAUUUCGAGGGUUGUAACUUGUUACUGCAAUUGUGGUUGUUAGAACAUUUUAAAAAGGGUCACUACCGCCAAGAAUUUCCGCAAAAGGAUUGGAAUGACCAUAUUUCCUUCCAUCACCCCAAGCGGAUGACUUACAUUCCAGACAGAUUUGCUCAGCUAGAAAAUGCCAAAGAAUGGGUAGAGUUCUUUGACAAUCUGACCGACGAACAAGUGCAAUGAAUGUUCGAAUGGUUCCCGGUAGAUGAUUUUAUCAUCAGAUCCAGAGACGCUACACACUUGAUGUUGAUUGGGUUUAGAGGGAUAUACCCUUAUGUCCCUAUCCAAGUUAUGAGGCAAGCAGGCAGGAAACAGGUUGUACCAAGGGUUGCCUAGAUAAGUCAUUUCAGGGCAGGUUUUUAAGACGACGACGUCCCUUACAAGUGCCAAGCCCAGCACAUGUGGCACUACAAAAUCAUUGUGGAAAAAGAAUACCAUCGAUCCAGAGAGAUAUCAUGCGGGAUACGAGCCUCUCUACCCAGCAUGGCUAAAAGACAAUCUAAAAGUAAUAGUGAUGCCAUGAGGUGGUCGAGGGAAUAGAGUCAUAGAUGAAGAAGCUGAAGCUCAAGCCAAAUACAACAGGCUGCGCAAGAGGGUCCACGACUCUGAGAAUGUGCACCGAGAAAUACAUGAGAGGAAUGCGAGGUUGAUUGAAGAAUGGAAAGAAAUGACAGUCACUUCAAAUAGGAAGUUGGAAUAUCUGGAGCGAGGAAUAGUGGAGCUGGAAGGUAAAGUCAUAAAGAGGAUCGAGCAUUGCCAGAUUGCUGAAGGAGCUGAAGGAGGACAUCUGGACAGAGCCUACUUGCUGUUGGGUCUACGCGAGCUGGGGAACCUGUAUGAUGGAGUCAGGAAGAUCGAAUCUGGGGAAGGUCCUUCUGGGACCAAGUAGGCUAGAUUUAUUUGCUUGCUUAAAAUUUAAUAAGUCCAAGUGCCAGUAGUGACUUAUUUUAUUAUCUUAGUGUCGUUUUGGGACUCGUCUAUUUUUAUAUUAUGAAAUGAAGCAUUUAUUGGCGUUUAAAGUUCUCCAAAUUUAUUUGUCGCUAGUCCUACCUCGGGCACAAUGAGGCUCCCAAAUUAAUAUGCAAAUUUACAUUUCCGCGAUAUGUGUUUUAAUACUGCAAACAUUUCAGGAUCCUCACUGACUUGUCACCUUUUUGUUUUUUCUUUAUUUUGAUUAUUCCCAUACCCUUAGGUUGGUUUACUCAUACUGGCCUCAUCAGCGUAUCACACCAGAUCUAGAGGCCCUCCACCUCCUCCUCCUCCUCCUCCA